UGGUAAACAAAUCCACAAGCAAUUCUUUCACUGAAAUAAAACAAAUGAGUUCCAGUUCUCAACCAUUCUGGCAUCUCAACAAAACAUCAGGUCUAAGAAAUGUUCUCAUUAUGAUUUAUAUAUCUAACACAGAUAAAUAAAAGCUAUGAUCAUAAACAACAUAUGUAUAAGGCCUGUAUAUCACUUUAAAAUGGUGUUCCGAGUUGGAUGGGUAAUGACUAGGAGCUUGAAAACUAAUGAAUGAAUGCACUGAACAAAACAAAUACAAAGCACCAGAAAUUGUAAGACAAAUAAAAAGCAACAGUAGCCAUCUUAUCCUUCAUAUCCUAUUGAUUGGACUCUGAAUUUGAAGAUGCGUUUCCAUUUUGUUGUUGUGGCUGCGGCUGCGGCUGCAAUUGAUGCAUGUUCAUUGGGGAGGGUGAUUGUUGCUGUUGCUGCAGCUGGGACAUCUGGGCG
RNAcentral lists this unclassified non-coding RNA (456 nucleotides) under Hevea brasiliensis (rubber tree). Lineage: Eukaryota; Viridiplantae; Streptophyta; Magnoliopsida; Malpighiales; Euphorbiaceae. The record is from RNAcentral.